Molecule: ribosomal RNA, 1672 nt
Filed under: Eusphyra blochii
Lineage: Eukaryota; Metazoa; Chordata; Chondrichthyes; Carcharhiniformes; Sphyrnidae
Description: 16S ribosomal RNA
Rfam family: Bacterial large subunit ribosomal RNA
Source: RNAcentral
ACCUCAAAGCUAGCCUAUAUAUCAACUUCAACUAGACCUAAUAAAUCUAAUUCACACUAUAAUUUUUUAACCAAAACAUUCUUAACCUUUUAGUAUGGGCGACAGAACAAUAACUUCAGCGCAAUAGCUUAUGUACCGCAAGGGAAAGCUGAAAAAGAAAUGAAAUAAAUUAUUAAAGUACUAAAAAGCAGAGAUUACAUCUCGUACCUUUUGCAUCAUGAUUUAGCUAGAAAAACUAGGCAAAAAGAUCUUAAGUCUAUCCUCCCGAAACUAAACGAGCUACUCCGAAGCAGCAUUAUAGAGCUAACCCGUCUCUGUGGCAAAAGAGUGGGAAGACUUCCGAGUAGCGGUGAAAAGCCUACCGAGUUUAGUGAUAGCUGGUUACCCAAAAAAAGAACUUCAAUUCUGCAUUAAUUUUUUAAUUACCUAGACAAGACUCUCCUUAUCAAAGGAACUCAUAAGAAUUAAUAGUUAUUUAGAAGAGGUACAGCCCUUCUAAACCAAGAUACAUCUUUUUAAGAUGGGAAAUGAUCAUAAUUACCAAGGUAAUCCCCUCAGUGGGCCUAAAAGCAGCCACCUGUAAAGCAAGCGUCGCAGCUCCAGCUCAAUAACCAAACCCUUAAUCCCGAUACCCACUCACUACCCUCCUUACUUAUUGGGUUAUUUUAUAAAAAUAUAAAAGAACUUAUGCUAAAAUGAGUAAUAAAGAGAAUAUAUCUCUCCUAACACAAGUGUAUGUCAGAAGAAUUAAAUCACUGAUAAUUAAACGGCCCCAAACUGAGGCUACUAUACUAUUUAAACAUCAACCAGAAAACCCUAUUCUUCCACCCGUUAACCCUACACAGGAGUGUUACCAGGAAAGAUUUAAAGAAAAUAAAGGAACUCGGCAAACAUAAACUCCGCCUGUUUACCAAAAACAUCGCCUCUUGCCAAACCAUAAGAGGUCCCGCCUGCCCUGUGACAAUGUUCAACGGCCGCGGUAUUUUGACCGUGCAAAGGUAGCGUAAUCACUUGUCUUUUAAAUGAAGACCCGUAUGAAAGGCACCACGAGAGUUUAACUGUCUCUAUUUUCCAAUCAAUGAAAUUGAUCUAUUCGUGCAGAAGCGAAUAUAACAACAUUAGACGAGAAGACCCUAUGGAGCUUCAAACACUUAAAUUAAUUAUGUAACCUUAUUCCUCUAAGGAUAUAAACAAAAUAUACAAUACUUCUAAUUUAACUGUUUUUGGUUGGGGUGACCGAGGGGAAAAAUAAAUCCCCCUCAUCGACUGAGUACUAAGUACUUAAAAAUUAGAAUGACAAUUCUAAAUAAUAAAAUAUUUAUCGAAAAAUGACCCAGGAUUUCCUGAUCAAUGAACCUAGUUACCCUAGGGAUAACAGCGCAAUCCUCUCUUAGAGUCCCUAUCGAAGAAAGGGUUUACGACCUCGAUGUUGGAUCAGGAUAUCCUAAUGGUGCAACCGCUAUUAAGGGUUCGUUUGUUCAACGAUUAAUAAUCCUACGUGAUCUGAGUUCAGACCGGAGAAAUCCAGGUCAGUUUCUAUCUAUGAACGUACUUUUCCUAGUACGAAAGGACCGGAAAAGUGGGGCCAAUACCAUUGGUACGCCCCCUUUUCACCUAUUGAAUAAAACUCAAAUAGAUAAGAAAAGAUCACCCAAUGCCCAAGAAAGGGGUU